Molecule: ribosomal RNA, 252 nt
Filed under: unidentified marine bacterioplankton
Lineage: Bacteria
Description: partial 16S ribosomal RNA
Rfam family: Bacterial small subunit ribosomal RNA
Source: RNAcentral
AUGAGACUGGCGCACGGGUGAGUAACACGUAUGUAAUCUGCCUUCAGGAGGGGGAUAACUUCGGGAAACCGGAGCUAAUACCGCAUAAUGCAGGCCGGGGCCGCAUGGCCACAGUUGUUAAAGAUUUUAUUGCCUGGAGAUGAACAUGCGUCGCAUUAGCUAGUGGCGGGUAACGGCCCACCAAGGCGAUGAUGCGUAGCUGGUCUGAGGGGAUGACCAGCCACACUGGCACUGAGACACGGGCCAGACUCC